UACGUAGGGUGCGAGCUUUAAUCGGAAUUACUGGGCGUAAAGUGUGCGCAGGCGGCCGCGCAAGUCGAGUGUGAAAGCCCCGAGCUUAACUUGGGAAUUGCGCUCGAAACUACGUGGCUGGAGUGUGGCAGAGGAAGGUGGAAUUCCAGGUGUAGCGGUGAAAUGCGUAGAGAUCUGGAGGAACACCGAUGGCGAAGGCAGCCUUCUGGGCCAACACUGACGCUCAUGCACGAAAGCGUGGGGAGCAAACAGG
RNAcentral lists this ribosomal RNA (253 nucleotides) under uncultured bacterium. RNAcentral's name for it is "partial 16S ribosomal RNA". It matches the Rfam family "Bacterial small subunit ribosomal RNA", at positions 524 to 776 of the family's 1533-position model. The record is from RNAcentral.